CAAAAACUGGCAACAGGAAACACGUCACCAUACGUCACAUUAUACUUUUGAUAGAAGCGUAUCGCCGCAGCGCUGCUGUACACGGUUUGGGUCGAAACCGGAUAUCACGUGGGGUCAGCGAGGUACUCCCUGCCCCUAGGUAGGCGUGAAAGUAGCUAGGGAAUGAUUCCUCGGCCAUGCCUGCCAUGUCCCCAGUCCCUGUGUGCCUAGAAGCAUCCGCUAGCCCAAGACAAGCAUGCACGUUGCGCGGGAGCGGCCGCAUACAAGAAUUCGCGGUGAGAACGUCGUCGACCGCAUUACCGCCAACCCACAAAGGACUGCGAUCUCAAGGCCUUGCUCCUUCAGCUGUAGCGCGACGUGAGCCCUGCCAUUUCACUUUCAAGAUACGUAAGCUGCUUCGACCCUGAAAAUGCCGACGCAAUGGUGCAUCUGAACAGCCAAUGGAUACGAUGUCCACUCUGUAACGAUCAGUGCUUUUAAUGAAACAGCACCGCAGAAUAGUCAACCACGUGAGGCACCUCAGACAGCAUAUGCAGUGGGUUGUGACGGAUUUAAUGAUUUCAUCAGCAUUUUCACUGGAUGCAAGGCUGUGAAUCUCUUGUAUGAUGCAUGUGUGGAAAAGAAACCCAACAUCCGGUGCACAUGCCUGCUUGAAACAGUUGGGCAUAUCCCAUUAGUUGAGUGCCCCCGUGUCGGCAUUUGCUGAUGUGAUCCCAGCUAUCUUCACCCAUUACAUUCUGCUGAAUUUACUGCAGCCACCCUUUGGAAAAAUAGCACAUGGUAAUUAUUUCAAGGUAAUUAGUUCUCCCAUACAGAAAAAAUACCAUUAGCAGUACUCGUGGGCGAUAAUCUGCCACUUUGCAAUAGUGGCGAGCAUAAAUCCCACUAGCUGUAGUAACACCAGUUUUGAAAUUAGGAAGCAACUUUCUUGCAGCUUGACUUCAUGUGUACUAUGUUUCGUUCAAUGUCAGUGUUCAGAAUAAAAGCAUUUGACCACUGCAAACCGUCGUUUUUUUUCUUCUAGACGUACAUAUGAACACAUUCUUGAUAGAAAAAGACAUGCAGGGCUGUAUUACAGCACAGAAAUGUUUGGACAAUUCAAGCUCAUUAAUUCAGAAUGUAAGUUUGAAAAUUCUAAGGAAUCAAACCAUUCUGUUUUCAGUGCACUGAAGUACACAAAGUGCACUUCAGCCACCAAAUGCAAUUGACAAGGUUGAUAACAUUUAUGAGUUAUGAGGGCACUGCAGUUAACUUUGUGUUGGCAAGCACGUGAAUUUCGGGAUCUGCAAAAAAUGGAAUGUGCCUUG
Dermacentor silvarum is the source of this 1307-nucleotide long non-coding RNA. RefSeq lists it as uncharacterized. The transcript is spliced from 3 exons. NCBI's taxonomy places the organism in Eukaryota, Metazoa, Arthropoda, Arachnida, Ixodida, Ixodidae. The record is from RefSeq and is a predicted model, not a curated record.